This 492-nucleotide ribosomal RNA is filed under the name uncultured bacterium. Its description in RNAcentral is "partial 16S ribosomal RNA". It matches the Rfam family "Bacterial small subunit ribosomal RNA", at positions 29 to 507 of the family's 1533-position model. The record is from RNAcentral.
AGUGAACGCUGGCGGUAGGCCUAACACAUGCAAGUCGAACGGCAGCACAGUAAGAGCUUGCUCUUACGGGUGGCGAGUGGCGGACGGGUGAGGAAUACAUCGGAAUCUACUUUUUCGUGGGGGAUAACGUAGGGAAACUUACGCUACUACCGCAUACGACCUACGGGUGAAAGCAGGGGAUCUUCGGACCUUGCGCGAUUGAAUGAGCCGAUGCCGGAUUAGCUAGUUGGCGGGGUAAAGGCCCACCAAGGCGACGAUCCGUAGCUGGUCUGAGAGGAUGAUCAGCCACACUGGAACUGAGACACGGUCCAGACUCCUACGGGAGGCAGCAGUGGGGAAUAUUGGGCAAUGGGCGCAAGCCUGAUCCAGCCAUGCCGCGUGGGUGAAGAAGGCCUUCGGGUUGUAAAGCCCUUUUGUUGGGAAAGAAAAGCAGCAGGUUAAUACCCCGCUGUUCUGACGGUACCCAAAGAAUAAGCACCGGCUAACUUCGUG